CAGUCGCCACGGGAAUACGAAGGGUGCAAGCGUUACUCGGAAUUACUGGGCGUAAAGCGUGCGUAGGUGGUGGUUUAAGUCCGUUGUGAAAGCCCUGGGCUCAACCUGGGAAUUGCAGUGGAUACUGGGUCACUAGAGUGUGGUAGAGGAUAGUGGAAUUUCCGGUGUAGCAGUGAAAUGCGUAGAGAUCGGAAGGAACAUCUGUGGCGAAGGCGACUAUCUGGGCCAACACUGACACUGAGGCACGAAAGCGUGGGGAGCAAACAGGAUUAGAUACCCCCGUAGUCCAUGUCUCUUAUAC
Molecule: ribosomal RNA, 301 nt
Filed under: uncultured bacterium
Lineage: Bacteria
Description: partial 16S ribosomal RNA
Rfam family: Bacterial small subunit ribosomal RNA
Source: RNAcentral